UUAAAUAUGAUUAAAUAAUAAAUCAGUUGUCUUCCAGCCUGCAGAUGGAAACUGCUCUUUACGUUUUAUUCGCCUUCCUGUCUUUUGGGUUUGUGCACAUUGUAUUUUUCUGGUAGGUCCUUUCUCUCCUGCAACAGUUAACAAAGACUUUUAGGAUAUUUUGCCUAUGCAUGGUUAAUAUGAGGCCAUUUAACUAAAAUAAUCCUUGUCCCAGUGAACAGCCUUUAGGGUGGGAAUCUGGCAGGUGGUGUUGUGCAGUCUUAGCAUUGUGGUUUUUUUUUUAUUUGUUUGUUUGUGUGGUCGACCUACUUGGUCAAAGAUUAAAACAACUGCCAAACACAUUAGCUUUGGAAAAAUCCAGUUUGUGCUGCUCAGACGGAAAAAAAAAAAAAAAGAUUAGAUAAACAGGUAGGUACAUAUGGGGGGAAACAUAUAUAUUUGUCUGCAGUGUGAAUGUAGUUUAGGUUUCUUACCAGAAUUGCAUAAAAAUCCUGCAGUGAAACCAAAACCAUGUGAAUAGAAAUGACGUAUUCAAUGCUUAGUAAUCUGAAAAUCAAAUUAGGUCUUUUUAACAAACGGCAUCUCAAACAUCUGAUAGAAAUCAGUGCUGCUGCUACACGAAUCACACCGAGUUAGUCUGAGCUCUUUGUGUUUGAUAUUUAUUCCAGCUGUAUUACACCCAGCGGAGUCACAUCCAAGUAACUUGCAGUUUAUUAAAAAAAAAAAAAAAAAAAAAUUAUAGGUCUGGUGGUGUUUAUACAGUAAACAGGGGCAGAAAU
Melanotaenia boesemani (Boeseman's rainbowfish) is the source of this 779-nucleotide long non-coding RNA. RefSeq lists it as uncharacterized. The transcript is spliced from 2 exons. NCBI's taxonomy places the organism in Eukaryota, Metazoa, Chordata, Actinopteri, Atheriniformes, Melanotaeniidae. The record is from RefSeq and is a predicted model, not a curated record.